GACAGAGGGUGCAAACGUUGUUCGGAAUUACUGGGCGUAAAGCGCGUGUAGGCGGCUAUGUAAGUCGGGCGUGAAAUCCCACGGCUCAACCGUGGAAGUGCACCCGAAACUGCGUAGCUAGAGUCCUGGAGAGGAAGGUGGAAUGCUUGGUGUAGAGGUGAAGUUCGUAGAUAUCAAGCGGAACACCGGUGGCGAAGGCGGCCUUCUGGACAGUGACUGACGCUGAGACGCGAAAGCGUGGGGAGCAAACAGG
RNAcentral lists this ribosomal RNA (253 nucleotides) under uncultured bacterium. RNAcentral's name for it is "partial 16S ribosomal RNA". It matches the Rfam family "Bacterial small subunit ribosomal RNA", at positions 524 to 776 of the family's 1533-position model. The record is from RNAcentral.